AUGAAUAAGAUGCUAGGGUGAGCAUCUCGUGCGAAUCUGUAGUGGGUGAAACGUUUGAUUCGAUGCAUGACUUGGAGUUCCUAUUUAUAGUGGGCAAGUGUGGAGUUGUUGUAGUCCGAUAGAAAAUCUUGGCUUCGAGUUACGUGAUUUCUGGGAGAAAAUAGUUAGAAAGAAAGUCCGAAAUAGUGGUGUAUUAUUUUGUGGUAAGGGUUGGUUGAAGUGAUGUGGGAGGUACCCAUAGUAAUUCUAAGGUGUACCUUUACGAGUUGUUGAGGACCCUAAUCCUGAGCGAAUUAGUCACAUGGGAUUUGUGAUUAGUAUAGGGUUGCAGGAAGUUGCUACAUAAAAAGCUAAACGUCAAUUUAGAUAAGUCAUGAUUGAAGGCCAAUUUGUCGACUAUUUUUAUCCGCAACAGAAAGCAGUUGGGAACAUUUUGGGAUAAUGCUAGUUAUGUCAGCACCUAUUCUGGUUCCUACACUCUAAUUAUGGAUAAGUUUUUUUUAUCUUUUGAGCAAUUUAUUAAGAUGGUGGUGGUAAUAUCUUUUGGAAAUGUCGGAUAAUAGUAGUCGAUGAAUAUUAAGAUUUUUGAUGAUUUUGGUCUCUAUUGUGGGUUAGUUGAAGUUUGUUAAAGCACUAUGUGUAAUGACUUGGAUUGUUUUUCCUUGGAUUGGUUUUUUUUCAAAAGUCAUUGGUCAGUGCGUUGUGACAACUUCUUGUUAUGCCACAGUCGGGAAAUUUUAGAAAUUGAAUGGUGGCACUAAAUGUUUUGAGUUUCAAGCAAGUUUGGAACCGUGGAGUGAGAUGUCAGUUGUAUUAUUUUAAUCGUGGGGCCAUUAUGGAUUCUUUUAUAAUUCUAGGUGUUGAAGUUUGGUCUCCAGAUUUGUGGAGUGUUUUGGGAAGAUGAUAAAUUUAAAUGGAAUUGAAAAGUAAUGGUGGAGUGAGGGCAAGAUGGUUGUGGUCACUCCAGUUUUACGACAACACCUGGUGAAUUUAUUACGUGUUGUUAUGGGUAUUCCAUAGCAGUUGUGUGGUAGCAGUGGAAUAAAGCCCACUAGAUCGUGGAGCAAGAGUGCAUGGGUGUCCAAAGUAAUUUUCUUUUUUAAGCAGUGUUGUUCCGGGUAGUUGAGAUAAGUCUUGAAUUUGUGAUCGAAGUUGGUUUAUUGACAUCACUUCGUUAGCACUUGGUGACUAGCUCCGACACAUCACUAGGAGGAUCUGUUCACUCACCUUAUUUCUAAUUCGGUGAGAUGGAGCAGAGUUUUUUGUUGUGGUGUGUGUGGGAAUAUAUAAAUUAUUCCUACUGUAGUUUUUGGGUAGCAUCCUCAGAGCUUGAAAUUAUGGAAUGCGAAUUCAAUGUUACGAUUUGAAGGUUAGAGAUUCUGGUUUUUUUGUCGAAGUUUUGAGGUAAAUGAUAAAUUGGUAGUUGUGUCGUAGUCAUGGAUCUGGAAUAAAUCCAAUGGUGAUCCCAAGUGAGCUGGAGUUCAUUUAAGCGAGGAAUCUUGGUGCCGUAAAUCCUGUGUGGUAGUUUGAGAGUUGCAUGGUGAUGUUGAUUAGAUGGUUUGUGUCGUUGUAAGUAUAUUUCAUGAUGUAGCAUUAUGGGAGAGGGUUUUCCCCUGUUGACUCAAGAAGCGUCUAGAGUCAGUUUAUUAAGAGUUUUAAUAUUGAGAGUAGUAGAUAUUGAUAGGUUGAUCAACGUCUCUUCUCGGGAUCGUAUUGUGGUGGGACCACUCAUUAAUCCAAGUUUGAUUUGGGAGGUCUUCGCUAUUUGGUUGUGCGUUCAUCCGUUGGUGUCAGGAUGAUUAGUUGAGGUUUCUAGUGCAAUUUCGGAACAGGUUCUGGCGGAUAUCAGAGAAUUGUGGAGCUUUUGAGCUCGAAGUUAGAGGACUUGCCUUUCGUGUGCUUUAACUUAUUUCUUCUAGAACUUGAGCUGAGUUUAGCCAUGAGUUUUGAUUCUUACUUGAAUUCAUAGUUUUCGUUGGAUGGUGAACCAUAAAGUGUAGUAGUGGGCCUGUUACAGAAAUUAAUUUUUUUAUAUACGAUGGUUAACUUGUUGUUGCAAGCUCGGUUAUCGGAGAAUCUUUUUGGUGGGAAGCCGUGGGCCUAGAAAGUGUAGGAGAUUUGAGCAUACCUGAUUUCCGAUCGUAUUCUGCUAUCAAAUUAAUUGUUAUUAGAGAUAGAAAAAGAAGUGUGUUUGUCGGGUCCAAAGGUUUUGGCAUUUAGAAUCAUUCUUGUGGAAUGGCUAGAGUGAGCCGUGUGUUUUUAAUUGUUGCACUUGGGGUCGCGGUUGCACCUGAAUAAGUAGCAUGGCUGGACAUGUAAUUUUUGUUAAUGUUUAAGGAAGGUGUUCUAUUUAUGUGGAUUUCAAUGUCAAGUUUAGCAUCAUGAAUUGAUUGUGCCAAUUUUCGUGGGCAUUAUUAGUCAGUUUUUGCUUAUGGCGAGCAAGGAGGAAUAUCCAAUUUCCACAUGAUAGUCAUGUUUCAAAUUGUCUUCUGGUUUGUGGUAAAGAGAUUAGUGGAGAUAGCAGAAUCAGGAGAGAGUUGGAUUUCCCAUAAGCUGCUAGUUUGUGGUGCUCAAAAUAGUAAUGUAAUAGUUUUGGUGGAAAGACCUAUGUGACGUAGUGUUGAUCUCUACAUAAUGUCAUUUCGAGAUUCGAGGUUAUCAUUUGUUGGUGGACUGGUCACUUAGGCAGAGCAAGGUUGUCUUGUGGACUUGCAAGAGCUUUCACUCCGCGAAAGACUCUACGAAGUGUCUCAAUAUAAGAAGUGAUUGUUGCAGUUCUGCAGUGUGUGCAUCCUUAAAUUUGUUCAAUUAGCGGGUCUUUAUUUUGACCCCUAUGAGCAUGUGCGAAUACGUGAACUUUAGUUUCCUAGCAAGUGGGCUUUAUCGUCGAGUUUGUGAGCAACGUAAUGACGAGGUUGUUGUAUGACGUUAGGAGACUUUAGCCCGAUGGUGAUAGCAAAUUUAUGCAUUUUAUUUGGGUUAGCUAUUUCCAUUGCUCAGGAAAGAGUGUGCAUACCUACGGGUACUCGUACUCUGGAGCAAGUAUCACUGAACCCACUUACGUGUAAACGUUAGUGGUUCAAUGAAGGAUUUAGAGUCCUUGAGAAGAUUGAAAUAAUUCAGGAUAAAUGGGAAGAUUAAAAUAGUCAGAGAUAGACUCAAAGCAGCUCAAAGUGGUCAGAAGAGUUAUAAAGAUGUCCGCAGGAAGGACCAUGAGUUUCAAGUGGGUGAUUGGGCGAUCAUGAAACUACCUCCUUGGAAAGGGGUGGUACGUUUUGGUAACAUGGAAAGCUUGGUCCGAGAUUUAUUGGUCCUUAUGGGUUUUCAGAUCAAGUUGGCUCUCUUGCGUAUCGGUUAGUUUUGCCUCCAGAGUUAUCCAAGAUACAUACUGAGUUUCAUGUAUCCAUGCUUCGCAAGUUUAUUGCCGAUCUCUCUCAUGUGUUGCGAGAGCAGCCAAUUAAUUAGGAGAAAGUUUUUACCUAUGAUGAGGAGCUGGUUCAGAUUCUUGACCAAAAAGGAGCAUAUGUUUAGGAGCAAAUCUUUUCCACUUGUUAAAAUUAUGUGGAGGAGUCAUCAAGUAGAGGAAGCUACAUGGAAAUCGGUGGAGCAGAUGAGGCAUCAAUAUCCUUUCCUCUUUGAUGAGUAUGUAAAUUUCGAGGACGAAAUUUUUAUAAGGAGGGGAGAAUUGUCACAUCCCGACUCUUAAAUUGUCACAUCCCGACCCUUAAAUUUUUACCUUAUUUACUAGCUUGGUUAUAAUAAGAAUUUUACCGUCUCCGUCAUUGAGGUAAUAGUUUAAUCGGUCCCUAGAGGUGUUUUGAGGGACGAUUAAUUUCGGGGAAUUAUUCGUAGGAGAAAAUUAUGACGACGGUAAAAAUGGUAAAUUUUAGCUGGUAAAAGGUAAUUUUUAUUCGGGUAUUAUUUUUCCGGGAUGUUUUAUUUUUGGAAAUGGGUUGUAUAUAGGACUUGGACCGGGUAGGAGGCCCAAGCCUAUUUCUUCUUCUUCUCUCUUUUCUUUCUCUCUUCUCUCUCUCCCUCCCGAGCUCUCUCUCCCCCGCCGGUUUCCUCCGCUCAGAGCACUAGGUUAUUCGUUUCCUUUCUCUUUUUAGUACUACCUUAUAUUCUUGGUCGCACUUAGUGUCUAUAGAGUGAUGGUCCGACCGCGGCGGAUCUAUUAGCAUUAUAUGCUUUAGACACUAUGUGUUGAUUAGGUUUGUGAUGUAGUUGUUCUUCUUUUAUUUAUGGACAGUAGUGUGCCAUAAAUGUCUACAUCUCUAAGACUAUGCCUCCGUACACCGACCUCUUGAGUGUUCAUCCUUCGAGUUUUGAAAAGGUGUAUAGUUUGCAUCUAUUCCAAGGUUCAUUAAUUUAAUAUCUUUGAUAUUAAUGGUUGGAGUUGUUUUGCGAGUGGGGAACGAAAAAGCUUGUUAGCAUUCCUUUCAGGUAUCCAAUGAUUGUUUGGGUUAAAUAAGAUUAAGGUUUCAGAUUAAGAUGCUAAGGUGAGCCUCUUGUGCAAAUCUGUUGGGUGAAAUGUUGAUGAUUAAUGCCUUGAAGUUGUCCAUUUUUUUUUAGUGGGCAAGAUUGGAGUCAAAAAUUGAUUGAUGGGAGAUUUUGGUAUUGAGUUACGUGACUUCUGAGAGAGUUGAGUUGGAAGGAAAGUUCGAAGUAGUGGUGUAUUCUAUUGAUGAAAAAGUUAGUUGAAAUGAUGAGGUGAGGUAUCCAAUGGUAAUUCAAAGGGGUACCUAUAUGAGUUAUUGAGGACCCUAGUCUUGGGUUAAUCAAGGUUUUAGGAAAUUUGUGGCUAGUGAUUGGGUGGUAAGGUAGUGCUGCAUAAAAGAGCUAAAUGUCAAUUUAGAUAAGUCUUGAUUUAAGGCCAUUUUGCCGACAAUUUUAUCCGCAACAUAAAUCAAUUGGGAACAUGUUGGGAUAAUUUUGGUUAUGGCGGUAUAUGUUCUGGUUUCUGCAGUGCUAAUUAUGGAUAUGUUUCUAUCCUUAGAGCAUUUUAUCCAGAUGGUAGUGGUAAUAUAUUUUAAAAAUGAUGGAUGUUAGUAGUCGAUGAAUAGUAAGUUUUCUAAUGAUUUUGGUCUCUAUUGUGGGUUAGUUGAAGUUUGUUAAAGCACUAAGUAGAAUGACUUGGAUUGUUGGUUUUACAAAAGUCAUUCGUCAGUGCGUUGUGACAACUUCUUGUUGUGCCACAGUCGGGGAAUUUUAUAAUUUUAUUGAUGGCAUUAAAUGUUGAGUUUCAAGCAAGUUUGGAAUUAUGGAGUGAGUUGUCGGUUAUAUUAUUUUAACCGUGGGGCCAAUAUGGAUUCUUUUGGAAUUCCAGGUGUUGAAGUUUGGUUUCCAAAUUUGUUGAGUGUUUGGGAAGAUGAUAAUGUAAUGGAAUCGAAAAGUAAUGGUGGAAUGAGAGCGGGAUGGUUGUGGUCACUCCAGUUUUACAACAACACAUGGUGAAAUUUUAAAUAGGUGUUGUCAUGAGUUUUUUUUUUUAUAAAUUCUAAGGUAGUUGCAUGAAAUUGGUGGAAGUGGCAGCGGUAGAAUAGAACCCACUUGAUCAUAAAGCAAGAGUGCGUGGGUGUCUAAAGUAAUUUUUAAGCAAUGUCAUUCCGGGUGGUUGAUGUAAGUCUCAAAUUUGUAAUCGAAGUUGGUUUUGACAUCAUUUCGUUCGCAAUGGGUGACUAACUACGACAUAACAAUGGGAUGAUCUAUUCUCAUCUUAUUUCUAAUUCGGUGAGAUGGAGUAAAGUUUUGGUUGUGGUGUGUGUGGGAAUAUUUAAAUUAUUCAUACUGUAGGUUUUAGGUAGUAUCCUCAGAGCUUGAAAUUUUGGAAUGCGGAUUCAACACUUCGAUUUGAAGGGUAGAGAUUCUGGUUAUUUUGUCGAAGUUUUGAAGUAAAUGAUAUUUGGUAGUUGUGUCGUAGUCAUGGAUCCGGAAUAAAUCCAGUGGUGAUCCUAAGUGAGCUGGAGUUCUUUUAAGUGUUGAGUCUUGAUGCCGUAAAUCCUAUGUGGUAGUUUGAGAGUUGCAUGGUGAUGUUGAUUUUGAUGGUUUGUGUCAUUAUAGGUAUAUUUCAUGAUGUAGCAUUAUGGAAGAGGGUUUUCCCUUGUUGACUCAAGAAGCGUUUAGAGUCAAGGUUUAUUAAGAGCUUUAAUAUUGAGAGUAAUAGUUUUUGAUAGGCUGGUCAGCAUCUCUUAUUGUGGUGGGACCACUCAUUGAUCCAAGUUUGAUUUGAGAGGUCUUCGUUAUUUGGUUGUGCGUUCGUCCGUUGGUGUCAAGAUGAUUAGUGGAGGUUUCUAGUGCGAUUUCGAAGCGGGUUCUGGCGGAUAUAGGAGAUCUGUGGAGCUUUUGAGCUCGAAGUUAGAGGACUUGCUUUUCGUGUGCUUUAAAUUUUUUUUUCUUUUGGAGCUUGAGCUGAGUUAAGCCAUGAGUUUUGAUUCUUGGUAAUUUUACCAAUAUAGUAAAGCCUACAAGUAUUUACCUCUUUUUACCAAUAUAGUAAUUUUCGUUUUUAGACCAUAACUUCUUCAUACGAACUCCGUUUGAAGCGUGCCUCUUGUCCACGAACUCCGUUUAACGUCCUCUACAACUUUCAUGAAGGA
This 6596-nucleotide long non-coding RNA is filed under the name Fragaria vesca (wild strawberry). RNAcentral describes it as "long non-coding RNA (FVES_LNC005417)". Lineage: Eukaryota; Viridiplantae; Streptophyta; Magnoliopsida; Rosales; Rosaceae. The record is from RNAcentral.